AACCUAGCACACCUGCGGUGUGUACCUGCGGAGGGAUCAUUACAGAGUGUUCCACCCCCCCGGUAAAAUGGGGGGGUUUAACCUCCCGUCCUUUGCUAGGACCCCCCGUUUUAGAGGGUCUUUCAAAUCUUUCUGCUUCGGCGGGGUUAACCCGCCGGGACACCCUCAAAAAAAUUCUUGGUUAAACUUGUUCGGUCCGAGAAACUUGUGGGAAAAUUAUUGAAAACUUUUAGCAAUGGA
RNAcentral lists this unclassified non-coding RNA (240 nucleotides) under soil metagenome. RNAcentral describes it as "partial contains 5.8S ribosomal RNA, internal transcribed spacer 2, and large subunit ribosomal RNA". The record is from RNAcentral.